AUGUUUCAGAAGCAAUUGUCUUCAUACGUUGUAAGUUGGGGUGCUUAUGCGGGGAGGAUAAUGAUUGUACAAGGCAAUUUGAGAUCUCAUUUAAGUUUGCUAAAAAUAUGGAACUUGUGUCAAGUAGAUUCUCAGCGUAGAACAAAUCUUCAAUUGUUGUAUUAUUAUCAGUUGUUGCCAUGGGCAGUUUUGAUCUUUGUUACAUGUUUCCAAACAACAACCGAUGCAAUAAAGAUCCACACACCACAAGUACACAAAUCCCACACCAAUCACGUCACACUAUGUCACCAAUGGAAUGAAUCGAGCUGCGAGCAUCUUGCUCCAGAGUACAAUCAUAGUUCAUCUGUAGCCGUUCUGUUCAUACGUCGGCGGCUUCGGCCCGAGCAGGCUGGUCAUCAUCCUGAGCACACAGCACAAAGCAGCACCCAAAUCCCCCAAACAACAAACGGGUCAGUCAGUUGCUUCCCCGGUCUUUCCGCAGUAAAUUUCGUAAGAGUGCGCACACUUGCCUUUCUCUCGGCCUUGCCACGAUCUGGUUACGCUCCGCCGCCGCCCCUGUCGUGGUCGCGGGUCUUGGAGGCUGCUCCCCUACUCUGGGGACGGUCUUCACCUGAAAGACAAGAUGAUAUUGGUCAUUGA
RNAcentral lists this ribosomal RNA (639 nucleotides) under Triticum aestivum (bread wheat). RNAcentral describes it as "partial small subunit ribosomal RNA". The record is from RNAcentral. Lineage: Eukaryota; Viridiplantae; Streptophyta; Magnoliopsida; Poales; Poaceae.